CCUACGUGCGGCAGCAGUGGGGAAUAUUGGGCAAUGGGCGCAAGCCUGACCCAGCAACGCCGCGUGAAGGAAGAAGGCUUUCGGGUUGUAAACUUCUUUUGUCAGGGAAGAGUAGAAGACGGUACCUGACGAAUAAGCCACGGCUCACUACGUGCCAGCAGCCCCGGUAAUACGUAGGUGGCAAGCUUUGUCCGGAUUUACGGGGGGUAAGGGCGUGUAGCUGGGUUGACAAGUCAGAUGUGAAAUCCUGCGGCUUAACCGCAGAACUGCCUUUGAAACUGUUGAUCUUGAGUACUGGUGAGGCAGAUGGAAUUCCUAGUGUAGCGGUGAAAUGCGUAGAUAUGAGGAGGAACACCAGUGGCGAAGGCGGUCUGCUGGACAGCAACUGACGGUGAGGCGCGAAAGCGUGGGGAGCAAACAGGAUUAGAUACCCUUGUAGUC
This 441-nucleotide ribosomal RNA is filed under the name uncultured bacterium. RNAcentral's name for it is "partial 16S ribosomal RNA". It matches the Rfam family "Bacterial small subunit ribosomal RNA", at positions 338 to 795 of the family's 1533-position model. The record is from RNAcentral.